This 548-nucleotide ribosomal RNA is filed under the name uncultured bacterium. RNAcentral describes it as "bacterial SSU rRNA". It matches the Rfam family "Bacterial small subunit ribosomal RNA", at positions 355 to 896 of the family's 1533-position model. The record is from RNAcentral.
UGGGGAAUUUUGGACAAUGGGCGAAAGCCUGAUCCAGCAAUGCCGCGUGCAGGAUGAAGGCCUUCGGGUUGUAAACUGCUUUUGUACGGAACGAAAAGUCUCGGGAUAAUACCUCGGGACCAUGACGGUACCGUAAGAAUAAGCACCGGCUAACUACGUGCCAGCAGCCGCGGUAAUACGUAGGGUGCAAGCGUUAAUCGGAAUUACUGGGCGUAAAGCGUGCGCAGGCGGUUAUGUAAGACAGAUGUGAAAUCCCCGGGCUCAACCUGGGAACUGCAUUUGUGACUGCAUAGCUGGAGUACGGCAGAGGGGGAUGGAAUUCCGCGUGUAGCAGUGAAAUGCGUAGAUAUGCGGAGGAACACCGAUGGCGAAGGCAAUCCCCUGGGCCUGUACUGACGCUCAUGCGCGAAAGCGUGGGGAGCAAACAGGAUUAGAUACCCUGGUAGUCCACGCCCUAAACGAUGUCAACUGGUUGUUGGGUCUUCACUGACUCAGUAACGAAGCUAACGCGUGAAGUUGACNGNCUGGGGAGUACGGCCGCAAGGUUG